RNAcentral lists this ribosomal RNA (253 nucleotides) under uncultured bacterium. RNAcentral describes it as "partial 16S ribosomal RNA". It matches the Rfam family "Bacterial small subunit ribosomal RNA", at positions 524 to 776 of the family's 1533-position model. The record is from RNAcentral.
CACGGAGGGUGCAAGCGUUGUUCGGAAUUACUGGGCGUAAAGGGCGCGUAGGCGGUCUGUUAAGUUCGGUGUGAAAGCCCCCGGCUCACCUGGGGAACUGCGCCGGAAACCGACAGACUCGAGUACCGGAGAGGAGGGUGGAAUUCCUGGUGUAGCGGUGAAAUGCGUAGAUAUCAGGAGGAACACCGGUGGCGAAGGCGGCCCUCUGGACGGAUACUGACGCUGAGGCGCGAAAGCGUGGGGAUCAAACAGG